This is an RNA transcript of Pteropus alecto (black flying fox), 5558 nucleotides long. It is a transcript of the gene named C1q and TNF related 1, with no coding region annotated. The record is from RefSeq and is a predicted model, not a curated record. NCBI's taxonomy places the organism in Eukaryota, Metazoa, Chordata, Mammalia, Chiroptera, Pteropodidae. The transcript has 5 exons.
UUUCGAACAGAAUUGCUUUGAACCUGUAGAUUAACUGGGAGAGAACUGAGAUUUUUGUACACUUCUACCCAAGAACACGGUUGGCCUUUCCAUGUCCUUCGGUCUCCGAAAAAAUGUUUUUCAACAUUUUGCAAUUUUUCGCUUCACUGUAUAGCUUGUUCCAUAGCUGCGUAGACGGGCUGUCAUUUAUCUUACGGGGCUUCCGAUGGUGCCUUUCAGGAUAUCUGUGGCCUUUCUGCUUUACGGCAGUGCUUCGGGGCGUCUCCCUGGGCUUACUCAUUUGGGCACAACUGUAAAUAUAACUAUAGGACAAAGUCCUAGGAGAAAGACGGCCAUGUCUAAGGGCGUUUGCGUCCUCCGGUGAGCAGACAGACUUGCGACAGGCUGUGCGGAGCCUUCGCUCUCCAUGUCGUCCGCAGCCAGGCUUCCCUUCCCUGUCUUCUUCCCCUCCCCGGACACGCUGCCAGGGCCUUCUGCUGGAAACUCUCUCCUUCGUUUCUGUGGCUCUGCAUAAAAGACUGAAAAGUCUUCGCCGUAGUCAUUCAUUCAUGUGUUUACUCGUUCAUUUGCUCGUUCGUUUCCUAGUCAAGUGCUUACAAUCGUGCGGUCCACCAGGGGGCCCUCCCAUUUUAUUUUCUGAGCGAAACGUCGCCUAAUCGUCCCUUCUGUGCCUUCUCUGUCUAACUGAAAGCACUGAGAAGGAAUCUCCAAAACAGGGGUGUAAACAUCGAGAGACGGAGAAACUGAGGCACGCAGCAGGAAAUGGCUUGAUUAGAGUCAGAAAGCACAUCAAUGGUAAAAACAGAGACAGCAGAUAUAGUUCCCUCUUCUCGACUGCCUGUCUUCGCGUCAAGAUUGCAGAGGGGCUUCCGCGGAAAGGCGCCUCCUGCUCGGAGAGGGGUCUUCUCCAGGCAUGAGGAGCGGAAGGCAGCAGAUCGGCUCGUUCUGUCCUUGCCGCUGCCAGCGGCGACCCCCACCUGCCCAGAGCCUUCUCGUCCACGGGCACCGCCAUCCAGGAGCAACGAGCGUGGGCCAGCAGCCAGGAGGCCGGGUCUGGCUGCCAAGUUUCCACCCCAGCUCCUUCUCCACAUGUCCACAGAGACUCUCCCACCCCCACUCCUUGGCAGCGGGACCCUGCCAUCUGAGCCUGCCUGUGGCUACCCUUUGGAAUGGAAUUCAAAAGUCUGCAAUACCGGUCUCUGCCUUCGUGGGACGACUGGGCAGCCUGGCCCAAAAUAGCCGGAGGAGGCAGAACAUUAGGGCCACGGUGGGAAAAAUCACAGUGCCGCUAAAUGACAGGCUGUGCUUAUCUGGAACCAGGCGUCUUACAGACUUUAACCGAGGUCACAUGGUUUUCCGCAACGACGAGAAAACAGGCAUCGUGGGGAGCGGUGACAUGCCCAGGGAGCGAGAAGGAACUGGCACACCUGGGAGGACACGCAAUGCGCUGCCUCCUGGGCAUCAUCCCCGGAGCGUGUCUCCCCCUGAGCCUCUGGGCUCGGCAUCCCACCAGCUGCCCUUGUGUGAGAGUCUGAGAAGACUGAUCCACUUGGGAAUCUUCAGGAAGCCUUGGAGGGUUGGCCCGGACGUCCUUUGUGUAGGAGGUGUGAGCUCCUAGGGAAUUUCAGGGCAGGGCUGGGCUCCUGGGAGCCCAAGAGAGAGCCUUCGGGGUGGGGGCCUCAUCUGGUUGGCCCUGGCCUCUGACCUGUCACGUCAUGGGGCUGAUGAACUCUCCCCCAGGCACUGCUGCCGGCUUUGGGUUCUGAUUUGUUAAUGCUGGUGGUUGGGGGAGGGGGUUGUUUUGUUUUUUGGGAGUUGUUUUUUUUUUCCCCCAGGACUCCUGUCCUCGUGCGGUGAGGACUCUGUCCAACGAGAUGAUAUUUGCUGAACUGGGAAGUUUCCGCCCUGGGCUGCGUGGGGGAGGCGCGGUGGCGGCCGCAGAAGAGAGCGGAGCCGUCCACGAGCCAAACUUCCCGUCCUUCUCCCUCGAAACGGGAAAGCGGUAAAUGAAGUUGAUGACAGAGCGCACUGGGGACCUGGCCAGGCCUGCGUUUCGGUGACAUAUUUCAUUUCCUUUCCUGAAGGCUGACUCGCAUUGUUCGGGAGCCUGGCCUUGGGGACUCUUCGCCCAUUUGCCUUUUGGCUCAAGCCGUGGGCUGGGGCGACACUGCCCGAGCUGUUCGCGGACCUCAGUGCCCGUUCUCCAGAGCUUCCCACCCUCUGAGCCUGUCUCACAUGAGCGCCUUGGGAAACCCUGGCUCUUUUUGCCACAUUUAAUACACCCCCCUCCCCCAUGUCUGAUUCAAGGAAAAUGAGUAAUCCCUUUUCUCGUCUCUUGGGAGAUGUGGGGGCCCAACCCAGGAGGAAAGACGGGAAAAGACUGCACUUGCGAUCGCAACGGUGGCUGUGCUCAUCCUACCACUUCGAACGGGCCCCGUCGACCCUUGACCGACUGUGCGAGAGACCGCAGCCUCGUGAUCCUUACCCCAAACCCCCGCAUACAAAAAGCUCUCGCAACUCAGUUUUCCCCUAAAUCUGCACACAUGAGUUUGACAGAACAAUGUGACUCGAACUGCGAGACGACGACGAAUGGCCUUCGCGUGUCCCACCGCGGGCCGCGGACGGUGCAGGUAUCUGGUGACGGGGCGGCAUGCUCUACGUGUGAUUUGCAUCUCACUCCGAACACAUCUGGUGCCACGCGGUCCAGAUCAGAGAGCCGUGGCCCUCUCUCUGCUUUACAGGCCGUGUGCCCAGCUUCGUGUGCACCGGACUUCGGCAUCGGUCCCAGUUCCCCAGACCCUCAGACGUCCUGGACGAAGGUCCCCCAGGGGCCGCGUGAAGAUGUAGCCGACUUGCGUCCCUGGUUCUCCUGUUUGGUGACCUCAGUCUCCUGCUGCAAAGGCCGUCUGAGGACAGAACCCUGCGGGAAGGUCAGUCCCCGAGCUGGGCCUGGGUCCGGUUGCCGGGAAGGUCCUCGCGUCAUGCACAGGAACAGAGACACUGAGCUUAUCUCUGGGUUUUCCUGUGUAAGUCCGGCCAAGCCUCAGGCACGUGCCAGAGGCCGUGAGCAGCUCCCGAGCCUUCCAGCGUCAGCUGAAACAGCCUCUCCGCUGGGGACGCGGUUACCGCACCUUGCCAGAGCGCCUGCGAACUCUCCUGGGGCCACUCGGGACCUUUGCUCGCACAGUGGGGGGUGGCGGCUGGGUCUCCGCGGAGACACCACCCAGAGCCACCCUCUCCUUUCAUCCCGCGCUCUCGGCCUGCCCCGGCGUGCCUGGUGGGCGCCCGGCGUGCCUGGUGGGUGCCCAGCGAGCAUACGCCCUGCUCCCCUUUGAUUCCUCAGACACAUGGGGAGCAGAGGCGGGAAGAAAAUUCCGAGGCAAGGCUUGGCCCCAAGCGCCCCAAACCAGCAACCCAGCCCCUCCGUCCUCCGUCCAGGCGUCACUAGAGGGAGGGGUCUUGGCGGAGGGAUAAGGACAGGAGGAGGGCAGAAGGAGGGCAGGCCGAUGUCCGAGUGGCUUGGGACAUGGGGGCGGGGUUCCGGAAAGAAAGGCACAGAAAAGAAAGCCGUCAUCGUCAUCGUCACGCAGAGUUUGCUCCUCCGGCCAGAUUGCUCCUUCCUUUCUCGGGAUAUGAUAAGGUUCCAGAACAAGCCGGUCUGGCUCAGAGUGUGGGGACCAGCCUGGGGCUGCUCAUCGGGUGUGAGCGGGGGGCCAAGGGACUCGUUUAGAAAGCACUUUCGUGUAAGAUGGAGAAAAUGCCCCAUUCCCAGAACAAGGAAUGAGACACACAAGGGCCGAAGUCCCUGCGGGCCCCACCUCUGCUUCUCACUGUCCCCUGGAAAAUCUUCCCCAAACAGAGGUUCCCAGCCUUUGGCUCACGAAGCUAUCGAAGAAUCUGACCAAAGCGAGAGACCAUCACUGUCCCAAAUGCGCAUGCGCACGCACGUGGGCACACGAUUUCUCAUUCUGGUUUGGGGGUUCACAGAUUUCCCCAAUCCCGUCCGAGGUCCCCAGACCCCAGGUGGAGAUCCUGAUGGAUGUCUCAAGUCUGCCACCAUCUGGGGACUUGCUCCCACGAAGUUGGCUACAGGUGCCCUUCGGCCCCUUGAAUCCCAUCCCCCCGCCACCAAGCAACUUGGGGUUCCCAAGGCUCCUCCUCGUCCUGGGCUCUCAGCCGCCCCCACCUCCGGGCAGACUUCCAGACAUUCGGAGGGGCCACCCCGGUCCCAGCCUGGGCCGGCCCCCGGGGUGGCCGGGGGGAGGGCAGCGCUGGCCUUCCCUGCCCGCGGGCACACACACAGUUAAUCCUCGGCGGCUGCUGUUUGGAUAAAAAUGUGCUGGGAGCAUUCGAGGGAGGCUCGCGGCCGCUCACAUCUGGCUGGGGUUCGCGCUCUGCGCUCGGUGCCUCUUUCCUCGGCCUUCCCUUACUUUGGAGAAACCGCGUUUCCGCUUCUGGCCAGAGAGACCUCGGAGCCGAGGAGAUCAAGGUGCCCGGAAGGGACCGGCCGCUGCCCACGCCAGCCGCCCCCCUCCGCACCGCCUUCCCGGAGGACUUUCUCGGUCUUCCCCGCUCUCUCCUCCGACAAGUCUCUCCUUCCCCCGACCUGGCCCGGAGGACGCCCCGCUGCCGGGAGAUGCUCUAAGAGGCGGUGCUGGGGGAGCCCGGAGGCCGUGGGGAGGACGCCGGCUGGAGCAGGGCGCAGCGGGAAGAUGGGCUCCGGGGCACUGGGACUCACGCUGGCGUGCUGCCUGCUGCUGGCCUUCGCCUGUGGCCCGGUGCUGGGCCGAGUGCCGCGUGACCAGCCGGAACAGCAGGAACAGCCGGAGGGGACCGAGGAGCCGCUGCUGGACCACACUGAGAGGGCUGAAGAAAAGCAUGAAAAAUACGGCCCCCGGCAAGGCGAGGAGGCCGCCGCCUCUCGGUGCUAUCGCUGCUGUGACCCUGGUGCCCCCGCGUACCCGGCCUUCCCGGUGCCACAGAUCAACCUCACCAUCCUGAAAGGUGAGAAAGGUGACCGGGGAGACCGAGGCCUGCAAGGGAAAUACGGCAAAGCGGGCUCCGUGGGCGCCCGGGGCCACGCAGGACCCAAAGGGCAGAAAGGCUCCAUGGGGGCCCCCGGGGACCGGUGUAAGAACUACUACGCCGCCUUCUCGGUGGGCCGGAAGAAGCCCCUGCACAGCAACGACUACUACCAGACGGUGAUCUUCGACACAGAGUUCGUGAACCUCUACGGCCACUUCAACAUGUUCACGGGCAAGUUCUACUGCUACGUGCCCGGCAUCUACUUUUUCAGCCUCAACGUGCACACCUGGAACCAGAAGGAGACGUACCUGCACAUCAUGAAGAACGAGGAGGAGGCGGUGAUCCUCUACGCCCAGGUGAGUGACCGCAGCAUCAUGCAGAGCCAGAGCCUAAUGCUGGAGCUGCGGGACCAGGACGAGGUGUGGGUGCGCCUCUUCAAGGGUGAGCGGGAGAAUGCCAUCUUCAGCGACGAGUUCGACACCUACAUCACCUUCAGCGGCUACCUAGUCAAGCACGCCGCCGAGCCCUAGCUG